Molecule: ribosomal RNA, 604 nt
Filed under: Lactifluus sp. JM-2020e
Lineage: Eukaryota; Fungi; Basidiomycota; Agaricomycetes; Russulales; Russulaceae
Description: partial large subunit ribosomal RNA
Rfam family: Eukaryotic large subunit ribosomal RNA
Source: RNAcentral
UAGUAACUGCGAGUGAAGCGGGAAAAGCUCAAAUUUAAAAUCUGGUGGUCUUUGGCCAUCCGAGUUGUAAUUUAGAGAAGCGUCUUCCGCGUCGGGCCGUGCACAAGUCUCCUGGAAUGGAGCUCAUAGAGGGUGAGAAUCCCGUCUCUGGCACGGACCCCCGGUGCUUUUGUGAUGCGCUCUCAAAGAGUCGAGUUGUUUGGGAAUGCAGCUCAAAAUGGGUGGUGAACUCCAUCUAAAGCUAAAUAUUGGCGAGAGACCGAUAGCGAACAAGUACCGUGAGGGAAAGAUGAAAAGCACUUUGGAAAGAGAGUGAAACAGUACGUGAAAUUGUUGAAAGGGAAACGCUUCAAGUCAGUCGCGUCGACCGAGACUCAGCCUCGCCUCGGCUUGGCGUACUUCUCGGCUGACGGGCCAGCAUCAUUUCGUCCCUCGGAUAAUGGCAAGGGAAAGGUGGCACCCUUACGGGUGUGUUAUAGUCUCCUGUCGCAUGCGAGGGGUGGGAUUGAGGACCUCAGCACGCGCCUCUCUGGCGUCGGGGCUUCGGCCCACGCUUACGUGCUUAGGAUGUUGGCGUAAUGGCUUUAAACGACCCGUCUUGAAA